RNAcentral lists this ribosomal RNA (253 nucleotides) under uncultured bacterium. Its description in RNAcentral is "partial 16S ribosomal RNA". It matches the Rfam family "Bacterial small subunit ribosomal RNA", at positions 524 to 776 of the family's 1533-position model. The record is from RNAcentral.
UACGUAGGGUGCGAGCGUUAAUCGGAAUUACUGGGCGUAAAGCGUGCGCAGGCGGUUUUGUAAGCCAGAUGUGAAAUCCCCGGGCUUAACCUGGGAAUGGCAUUUGGGACUGCAAGGCUUGAGUUUGGCAGAGGAGACUGGAAUUCCUGGUGUAGCAGUGAAAUGCGCAGAUAUCAGGAGGAACACCGGUGGCGAAGGCGGGUCUCUGGGCAGUAACUGACGCUGAGGAGCGAAAGCGUGGGGAGCGAACAGG